CGCCGAUGGGAAUCCUAUCGGCGAUGAUUCCAAGCCCGCGGGGACCCCAGCAAGUGCAUAUGCCAUGGGCUCGGGCCACGUCGACCCGUUGGCGGCCAACGACCCGGGCCUCGUCUAUGACCUUCAUUACUAUGAUUAUAUCCAUUACCUCUGCGGCAUGGGCUUCACUGACGCACAAGUCGGAGCCAUCGGUCGCGGUUCGGUGCAGUGUUCUAAGGUCCGGGCGAUCAGCCCGGAACAGCUGAACUAUCCUUCUAUGGCGGUGUACCUAAGUGCUAGUACGACCCAGGUGACGGUCGACCGAACGGUGACGAAUGUCGGGGACGCCGUUUCGACCUACGAGGUGAAGUACGACGAACCGGAAGGAGUGAGAGUUGAAGUUACGCCUGAUACGCUGCAAUUCUCCCGAGCCGGGCAGAUGAAGGAUUUUCAAGUGACAUUAAGCGUCGAGCCCGGGAGCCCAACAGUUAGGAUGGCGGGGCAAGUUUUUGAGGGGCAAAUGGCGUGGGUCUCCGGAAAGUACUACGUAAGGAGUCCUAUUGCCGUCACAAUCCAGUGAAACACGGUAUUAGUUCUCGAGUCCCAUGUGCAAAACAACGUACUAGUUCUUUCCCCGGCGUGUAAAAAAGAAAACAUAAUAUAAAAUAAAUAAAAAACAUGUUUGUCUACCAAAAGGCUCUACUUCGUGGAAACUAAGAUUCUUCUUCUUUUUUCUUGUUUGUUUUUGUUUUUUUCUUUUUUUUUUCUUUUUUUAUUAUUAUUAUUAUGGUGUCUGAUCAGAUGAAGCAAUCGGACUGAGCCCAGUUUGAGUGGAGUGUGCACUCCGAGAAACCAACUACAAUCCAUUCCUCGUGGGUCAACAGAGCAAAAUUAUUGCCUAAAAAUAGCCGUACAAGUAAAUAAAAGGUCAAAAAAGUAUGGGAACAAAAGUAGUGAAAACCAAAGAUUCUCGAAUUACGCCCAUAUUCUACCAAGCGCGACAAAAGUUAAACAUUUUUCAAGUAUCCUAUACAAAACCAGCAAAUACAACUAGAAAUUAACUAUUUAAUCCAAAAUAAAAAAAAUGUUUGAAGACCAACACCCCCCCGCUCCUCAACUAUAAGCAAUCUUAAAACAGGCCCCUUCAACUUGGCCUUUAUAUUUUUAUUUGCACCUCCCCACUGCCGAUUAUUUGAAAUUGAGUGAUUUUUCGGAAAUAAAUUAGAGGCUCUAUCAAGUUCAUCUAUGGUCUCAUCAAUUUAAUAAUUUUAAUUAUUUUUUAACAAAUAAAAUUAGGACAAUUAACGACUAUUAUCUAAAUGAGCUAUUAAUUGUUUUUUCCGUAAAAAAUAGCUAUAUUAAUUAGAACAACUUAAAAAAAAAAAAUUAGUGAGGUGUCCAUUCCAAAAAAGUCGAGGAGCCUAUUUUAUACUUGAGGGGGCUGCAAACAAUUAUAUAUCUUACUUAAUUAACAACUAUCCUGAUCGGACUCCAAAUAAAUUAAAAAGAAAUAAGGAAAUGAUUGCAUCCAAAACCAUGCCCAAAAAACAAAAAAAAAAAAGGAAAUUGAAAAGUUCUCCCUGCUUGGUCAAGGAGAGAACCUAACCAGCUUCAGUGGCAAUCCCACUGCUCGUUCAGUCACUUCUAUAAACCGGCUCUUUGUUUUCAGCAAUAAAUAAAACACCACUUCAAGAACAUUUAUACGCUUAACCUUUCCAACUACCCUAAUAUAUAUAUAUAUAUAUAUAUAUAUAUAUAUAUAUAUAUAUAUACACGNCGUCUUAUUUGUUCACUAGUGUGGUUUGUAUUAUGUGAAAAUUUUGUCACAGAGGUAAUGAAAUAGAAAGGUACGAUAGCCUUGUAUGAUACAAUAUUGGAUACCCCAACUCCCCGGAGGGGGGGAAGUUGAAGAGAGAUUAAAGUUAGGGUAAGGGGCAAUUUGUUCUCUAUUAUUGGCUGCACUUCAGGACAGUGUUCUCUAUUAUUGGCUCCACUUUGUGGUUAGAAACUUAAAUAUUUUAAGUUCCUGUAGCCUACUAUGCCUGGAAAUCAGGCUAACUAGGGGAGGCAAUCUAAACUUGCUGAUAUUUUUCAUGACAAUGAACCAUUCAUUGAUAUCAUGGUAAAUUUAGUAUUAUAAACCUUUGCCCUUUGGACGCAUCUAACAUAUCUAAUAAAGAAAACAUACAGAUCGUAAUGAACAUUGUAUGCUUGCAUUUGCUUAAUGAAGAAAAAGGGAAUUAAAAUACAAAGAUUUUGCAUAACCACAUAAAGUUGAAGGAAUAAAGCUCGACGUACCUUAGAAUAUGCUCCAAAAUAAACUGCUUGCUUGCUUGCGGAUAAUGCCAGUUAUCAUCCUCUCAUAAAUUGCACACAGGACAGCAUCUUCAGUACAUUUUGGUGUACUGAUAAAAAAAAUGCUCAAAAUAGAGGACUUAUGAAUACCCUGAAUUCAUCAUGAUUUUAGAUAUUGUAAAACAUUGCAAAGUAUGCUUCCGAAAGUUAAAUUAGAAUUGUACAUACUUGAUGCACGGAUACCCUUCAGAAGUCUUAGCAACAUCUGACAGUUGUUUAUGUCUGAUGCAGUGUUUUUGUUACGCCUGCGAAGUAGCUGCUCCCUGUAAGCAGUGGGAAGGAACAUAUGGGCAUUGCGAUGUAUCGAAAAAGUAAUAAAGGAGAAUUUAGAAGGCUUGGUAUGCACUUCCAGGAGAGAAUGGAAUUUAAGAAUGCUGAUCUGUAGACCCCCUUACUCUGUUCCAAGAGGAUUUGGGGGAUAUCUUAAGAAGGUAAAUGUUUUGGUAGUGUAUUGCUAAAGGCUUUUUUAUACCAGGGACUGAUAAAUACCAUCAUAAGUCGAUAAAGAAUCACAAUGGAAUUUAACUUCUUUCAAAUUAAUAAGACAUAAACACGGGCAUAUCGUAACUACGUCCAACCCCACGAAAACUAUCAUACUUGGGAUUCUCGCUAUUCGUAGAAUUCUAACUUUUCCAGCUACAAGUGGAAUUUCUCUAUGCUCUACCAUGCAUGCCCUGCGGCCUCGCAGGGAACUGUCUCAACACUAUUCCUUCAACCAAAGAUUACGAAGAGGAGGAAGGGAAAAAAAAAAGUCGAGAUGUUUAAAGUAACUUUUUAUCUAUUCCAGUUAAGCAAACUCUGGCUUUGGCCACUUUUAACAAGUGCAUAGUGCCGCAAACUAGGCAACAACCUUACCAGCUAAAAUAUUAUUCCUCAACAAAAGAAAACAGCAUAUCUAACACGACCAAAAUCAAACACAUCGAUUGGAUUACUACAAUUACAUUGUUCCCGAAUCCCGAAUAAUUUUAUAACAUCAACACAAGGACAGUAUUAGCACAUUCUGGUAGGGAAAUUCGCACCGACUUCGCUUACACAUUCAUUCAAAUGAUCAACUGCACAAAAAUUACAGCAACACAAACAUAUUACAAAACAGACUAGUUAACUUUGUGUAGGCAUUAAGUAACGGAGAUAAUCAAUCAAGCAUCAUCAUCAUAAGAGGCAUGGAAGUCCGUAGAACAACCUGGGGCGUCUGGAUCCUCGGCGCCGCAGCAGUCGUAGAACUUGGCCGCAUAAGGCGGAUCAUCCGGUCCAAGCUCGUAGUACCUUCGAUCAACAAGAAUAAAAGAAUCGGGAAGGAUCUAUUUAAUCCUUCGAUUUGAACAGGUUGGCUUAACUCUUCAGAUUAAUCUGAAGAAGAAGAUGAAGACGAAGAAGGAAAAAGAGAGAGAGAGAGAGAGAGAGAGAGAGAGAGAGAGAGAUCGUGGUGUGGUUAGUGUUUAGGGUUUAGGGAUUAGUCGGUGACCUCUUCUGGUCGUCGUGGCGUCGGCAAACGAAGAAGGAAGGGUGGAACCUGCAGGAGGCGGGCGUGUUUUUGGGGGGAUCGAAGCGUUGCUUGCAUCGCCGACACAGCUUCUCCACCGCAGCAGCAGCAGCAACCACCACGCCCUCUACUGCUUCCGACAUCUUCUUUCUUUCUUCCUUCCUUUCUUUCUUUCUUUCUCUCGCUCUCCCUCGCCCUCCCCCACUCGCUCUCCCCCUCCCUCUCCGCCCCUUGUCUUCUCUGAUCCCCGAGCCACGCGUCGUCACGAGGCCCAUAUAUAUAGAUAAGGCCGGCUUCUUGGGCCGGCCCAUUGUGACGCGGGUGCGAGCGGAUCGGACGGUUCAGAAAGUUUAGGUCAGGCCCGCUCCCGGAUCAAACUAAACCGAAAACUCGCAGGGAUUGCGAUUGCGGAGUCAUGAGCUUUUGAAAAGAACUUCCUUGGUCGGGAUGGUAGGAAAAUUAUGUUACGUGCAGUUAAAAAAUGUGAUUAAAAAAUAUGAUGUUUAUUUUCGUACGUAAUAUUAUAUUCCGCAUAUCGCGAUUAGUUGGUUAAGAUAUAUUUUUUACGGAGAACGCAGAAGUAUAUUCCUAUAUUCUUUUACCCCAUCUUUAUUUUAUCUAAUAACAUUAAAUAACUUUGGACGUUUCCUAUAGAAAAUAGGAUUAGAGUAGGAACUGGUGACCUACCUAGAGUAUAUAGGACUAGAGGUUGAACUGGCUUUUUGGCAUUCAGUUUAUUCUUGUUUAAGUAUUUUAGUUUUAGGAACAAAGCAGUGGAACACCCAAAUAUCAUCUCAAGUAAAAUUAACUACCAGACAACAGAAAAUUACGGCAGGGACAUUAAGGACUUCACCUUCAUGAGCAGCAAUCUCAGACAGAUAAGUUGCAUUGUGCCUUGUGUUUUCACUCGGGUCAGUGAAUUCAAUGAUUAAGCCGUACUUUCCAAUCUGCAUGUCACAACAAAAAAUUUACUCAAAUAGAAACUUUUAUAACUAAAAAUUCUUAAACAACAUAUGGAACUAAAAUAAUGACAUAGAACACCUGAAAUAAAGAACAUAGAACAGACAAGUAAAGCAGAACCUGUUAAUUGACAAGAUAAUAAGUAAUUCUUAGUGCAUCUUUGUUGGAAGAAGAAUUUGAGGAACACUUGUAAUUAAAAUAGCAUAUUAUUCAGGGGUUGAUUAUGUAGAUCAUGACAUACUAAUAAUUCCGAUAUAUUUAAGGCCUAUUAGUUGGUAAAAGAUAUACUUUCUCAUUUGACAAUCAUUUAGUAGUUUGAUCCUCAGCUUGCCUCUUUGCUGUACCAGAUGGGGUGUUUAACUUGCCUCUCACAAAUAAAUUACUCAUACAAAGUUUCAUAUCUAUUCCUAAAAAGUUUGAACUAUAAAAUUUGUGUAAUCUUGAUUGUCAAAUACAUUUCUCCAACAUUUAAAAGUAUGCAAAAUUCUAUUCAUGCAGGUUGACUAUUGUAAGUUCACGCGCGGUAGAAAUAUACUUAAAAAUAAUUUUUAUUCAAGAGUAGGGCCAUUUUAAGAAAGAAAAAGUUAACUUUAACAUUCAACUAAUGGAGAGGAUGCAUUUCCAAACUAUGCACUAUGGAGAAACAUAUUUCAAGACUACAAUUUUGGAGUAAUUAUGUAUUCAACUACUUUACAGUUUACAGUGAUAAUAAUAUGCAUGAAAAAAAAUUUGAAAAAAGAAUAUCAUAUAAGUGAUUGUAAUAAUAAGUAGUAUAACUGGGAGAUUUUCCAAAUUUCCCUGUACGUAUUGCGGUAUUGGCAUGUGCAUGGGAACUUCAGCAUUGGCACCUCUUCUAUGAAAAGGUGAAUAAGCUGGUGUAUCUAUUAUUGCGUUCAACAAAACGCCCGUAUUGCCAUUUGCAGCUAUACAUGUAUGUAGUUCAAAAGGCACUUGAUUUGGAACUAGGUAGAAGAAAACACUUCUGGGUCUUUGGAUUCGUCUAGCACGAUUAGAGAGCAGGAGAGAGAGUUCACUUAUUGCAUUUCAUAAUUCAUAUAAGUGCACCACAUGGCUUCACUUACUACGGAUCAUUAUUAGUUAUCCAUAAUGUAACCUGUUUUCUAUAAUUAAUCAAAUUAUUUCUCGCAACGAUUUGUCCGUGCAUGGUUAUUUCUUGCGAACAUUUGGAAAGGAUCCUAUUUAAGGACCAUAUGCCUCUCCUCUUUGCAAGCACACCUUCUCUAUUGCGUUGCUACCAUGGAAAUUUUACACUCAAUCUUCUACUUGCUUAUUUCUUUUUCCUUCUUCCUAUCCAAUCCAACUCUUCUCUUGGUUCACUGCCAAAUAAAGCCCAUUUCAAAUGACACCCAAAUGCAGGUCUAUAUUGUUCAUGUACAAAAGCCUGACAGCACGAGCUUCCGUCGGUUCAAGGAUCGGAAAGAGUGGUACGCGUCCUUCUUGCCCAACACCACCCUCGACUCCGGCAAGCCGCGCAUGGUCUACGCGUACCGCCAAGCGAUCAGCGGCUUCGCAGCGUGGCUCACCUCUCAAGAAGUAGAAGCCAUGAAAUCUACGGAUGGCGUUCUCGUAGCCUACCCCGACAGCGAGUAUGAUGCUCAAACCACCUACACCCCGGAGUUCCUAGGACUAAACGCAUGGGAGGACGGCGUUUGGUACGACUCUCAAUACGGGGCGGGGCAAAUCAUCGGGGUUAUCGACACCGGAUUUAAGCCCGGUCAUCCUUCCUUCAGGGAUACUGAUGUAAAUCCGCCGCCAGAGACGUGGAACGGAAGCUGCUACUGGAAACAUUCCGUGUGCAACAACAAGCUCAUCGGUGCAGUGGGAUACAAGCAUGGGCGCACCGUCUCACCUGAAGACAAGAACGGUCAUGGAACCCACACAGCGAGCACAGCUGCGGGGAAUUUCGUGGAUGAUGCUCACGUACUCGGCAUGGCACGCGGCACGGCGUCAGGGACGGCACCUAAAGCUCAUCUAGCAAUCUAUAAGGUGCUACACAUCACCAAAACUGCGAGUACUGGUACGGUUGUCAAAGCGCUUGUUAGUGACACAUUGAGGGGCAUCGACGAAGCGAUCCGGAAUCACGUAAAUGUGCUAUCCAUGUCCCUCGGGUUGGAGAAGCAACGGCUGCAUGCGGACUCUAUUGCCAUAGGAUCAUACGCAGCAAUCACCAAAGGGAUCGUCCCGGUGGCCGCUGCCGCAAAUGCAGGCCCCUUCGCGAGUGUCAUAGCGAAUGAUGCGCCGUGGAUACUUACCGUCGGAGCAAGCACUACAGACAGGAGGAUAAGGGCCAUUGUCAAGCUCGGAAACGGUAUGGAGCUCUUCGGCGAAACAGCAUACCAGCCGGAGGGAUUCAACUCGACUCAGCUACCGUUGGUUUAUCCAGGGGUGCGAAAGACGCAAAAGACCUUGAAUUGCUUGAACGGCUCCAUGGACACUUUCGAUGUUAAAGGGAAAAUCGUGUUGUGCGGGGUUGGACAUAUUACAAACAUCGAAAAGGGUGAGAUCGUUAAGGCAGCAGGCGGUGCGGCGAUGAUACUAAUGAACCAGCCGUGGAAUGGGAACACGACGUUCUCCGAACCCCACGUCAUCCCGACGGCCCAUGUGAGCUUCAGCGAUGCGUGGAAGAUCAUCACGUACUUCAACUCCACGCCUAACGGAACAGCAGCAAUCACCUUCAACGGCACACAAUACGGCGUUCAACCAUCACCCUCGGUGGCUUACUUCUCGUCUCGCGGCCCUAGCCUCAUGAACGGCAACAUCAUCAAGCCGGACGUCAUCGCACCGGGCGUCAACAUUCUAGCCGCUUGGCCGUUCGAGGUAGGACCUAAACCCAACCACACCCUUCCGCCCACAACUCACACAUUCAACUUCGAAUCGGGAACGUCGAUGGCGACCCCUCACGUGGCCGGCAUUGUGGCAAUGUUAAAGAAUAACCAUCCUGAUUGGUCUCCCGCCGCCAUUAAGUCGGCAAUAAUGACUACAGCUUACACAGUCGACGUCAAUGGGAAGCCUAUCGGCGACGAUUCCAAGCCCAUGGGGACCCCAGCUAGUGCAUACGCCAUGGGCUCGGGCCACGUCGACCCGACGGCGGCCAACAAUCCAGGCCUCAUCUAUGACCUUCACCAUCAAGAUUAUAUCCAUUACCUCUGCGGCAUGGGCUUCACCGACAAACAAGUCGAAGCCAUCGGCCGCGGUAAGGUGCAGUGUUCUAAGGUCCGCGCGAUCAGCCCGGAACAGCUGAACUAUCCUUCUAUUGCCGUGUACCUAAGUGCUAAUACGACCGAGGUG
RNAcentral lists this long non-coding RNA (8083 nucleotides) under Ananas comosus (pineapple). RNAcentral's name for it is "long non-coding RNA (ACOM_LNC014279)". Lineage: Eukaryota; Viridiplantae; Streptophyta; Magnoliopsida; Poales; Bromeliaceae. The record is from RNAcentral.